This 493-nucleotide ribosomal RNA is filed under the name uncultured bacterium. RNAcentral's name for it is "partial 16S ribosomal RNA". It matches the Rfam family "Bacterial small subunit ribosomal RNA", at positions 28 to 506 of the family's 1533-position model. The record is from RNAcentral.
GACGAACGCUGGCGGCGUGCUUAACACAUGCAAGUCGAACGGUGAAGUGCCUUCCUUUUUGGUGGGUGUGGAUGAGUGGCGAACGGGUGAGUAACACGUGAGUAACCUUCCCCCUUCUUCUGGAUAACCGCAUGAAAGUGUGGCUAAUACGGGAUAUUCUGGGUCUGUCGCAUGAUGGGUCUGGGAAAGAUAUUGUUUCGGUGGGGGAUGGGCUCGCGGCCUAUCAGCUUGUUGGUGAGGUGAUGGCCUACCAAGGCGGGGGUGGGUAGCCGGCUUGAGAGGGUGGCCGUACCCACAGUGAGUGAGACCCGGCCCAAACGCGUAAGGGAGGCAGAGGUGGUGAAUAUUGCACAGUGGGCGCAAGCCUGAUGCAGCGAGGCCGCGUGAGGGAUGGCGGCCUUCGGGUUGUGAACCUCUUUCGCGAGUGAAGCAGGCCUGACUCGUUUGUGGGUGGGUUGACGGAAGCUGGAUAAGAAGCGCCGGCUAACUACGU